This 767-nucleotide long non-coding RNA is filed under the name Macaca mulatta (Rhesus monkey). RNAcentral's name for it is "lncRNA (ENSMMUG00000049005.2)". The record is from RNAcentral. Lineage: Eukaryota; Metazoa; Chordata; Mammalia; Primates; Cercopithecidae.
AGCUGUUAUAAAAGGGAGGGGAAGGCCCACUCCGCCAUUUUCUUUUCGUGGAGGCUGGGCUCGAGUCGUCUGCGCUGUGGUCGUCAUGGACCGGAAGCGUGUGCGGGCGCGCCUGCCUCGAGGCCAGCAUCAGGGAAGUGUGUCCCAGGUGAAGGCGAAGCUUCCUUCACGUGUUCUUGGAGGACUUUCCGCUCGCAAGCGCUUCUCCAUUCUCCUAACGUCUCGGGCCUGACCUGUGGAUGAAGAGCCAGAGUCCCCCAAGGUCAAUGCUGCUGGCCAGUGGCCUGGUGUCUGCAUUAACAGAACAUCUGCAACGCCCUCAAAGCCCAUGGCCACUCUCUAGUCCAGAGGAGAAAAGGAUAAUAAAUAUCACACUAAACAACAUGGAAUACUUCUCAAGUCACCAGAAAGGUGAAACUGGACAGAAUACUUCUGUCCAUAAGGCCCUUAGAAGCCCCCUAAGUGAAAUAGCAGUGAGGACCCCCCCCCCAGCAGCUGCUGUCUCUUCAGUCAGUGUGGAAAGAAGAAACCUGGUGGCCUUGGCCUGGGAAUAUGGCGGUUCCAAGCACAAUGCUGUACUGAAAUGGUACCAGAAGACAGAAGGUUACGCGGCUAGACCAUGCCAUGAAGGAAGAUCCCUUGAUUACAGCCUCCCCAGCCCAUCAGCCACACUGCCAAGGACAUGGGAAAGAAUAAGAAGCCAGAGGGAGACAGCUGCCAGCAGGAGGUUUAGCAUAAAGAAGAUAGGAAUGGUAAUGAGAAAUUGA